UAGGGAAUAUUGGGCAAUGGGCGAAAGCCUGACCCAGCCAUGCCGCGUGAAGGAAUGAAGGCGUUAUGCGUUGUAAACUUCUUUUAUUCAAGAGAAAAUGCCCCAUGCGUGGGGAGUUGAUAGUAUUGAAUGAAUAAGCAUCGGCUAACUCCGUGCCAGCAGCCGCGGUAAUACGGAGGAUGCGAGCGUUGUCCGGAUUUACUGGGUUUAAAGGGUGCGUAGGCGGCUUACUAAGUCAGGGGUUAAAAACAGCGGCUCAACCGUUGGGCUGCCUCUGAUACUGAUAAGCUGGAGUUCUCACGAGGUAAGCAGAAUUGGCAGUGUAGCGGUGAAAUGCAUAGAUACUGCCAGGAAUACCGAUUGCGAAGGCAGCUUACUGGAGAGAAACUGACGCUGAGGC
RNAcentral lists this ribosomal RNA (400 nucleotides) under uncultured bacterium. Its description in RNAcentral is "partial 16S ribosomal RNA". It matches the Rfam family "Bacterial small subunit ribosomal RNA", at positions 355 to 752 of the family's 1533-position model. The record is from RNAcentral.